RNAcentral lists this long non-coding RNA (215 nucleotides) under Ananas comosus (pineapple). RNAcentral describes it as "long non-coding RNA (ACOM_LNC040297)". The record is from RNAcentral. Lineage: Eukaryota; Viridiplantae; Streptophyta; Magnoliopsida; Poales; Bromeliaceae.
AANUUUGAUUCCGAAUUUUUAAUUGGUAAACGUAUAAUAUCCGUAUAAAUUACGUAUCCGAAUAAUUACCACAUCCGUUUUUUAGCCGUAUUUUUCAACAAAAUUAAAAAUUAAAAAACGAAUUUUAUCCGAAUUAUACCCGUACCGAAUUUUUGCCGAAUCCGAAUUAACUAACUAUGGUUUGGAGAAGAACUUUUGGGGGAGAAAUAGACUAA